This is a long non-coding RNA of Bubalus bubalis (water buffalo), 3469 nucleotides long. RefSeq lists it as uncharacterized. Lineage: Eukaryota; Metazoa; Chordata; Mammalia; Artiodactyla; Bovidae. The record is from RefSeq and is a predicted model, not a curated record. The transcript has 2 exons.
AAGGAAGUCCCUCAACUAUUUCAUUCUUAAUGACAGGUGCAGGUGUGGAGGAGAGGAGGUGACAUUUGUGUGCCCAUCACUAAUGUGCUCUUUGGAAGCUUGUCUUUGGGAGGAGCAGUUCGUUAUAUUGUGGGCAGUAACACUUUGGCAUUGAAGAUUUCCAAUAAAACUUUAUUUAUAUUUUAUGUAGAAGAAAACAAGAAAAAAGAAGUCUGGUCAUUCAAAAGAACGAUCCAAGGAAAGGAGGAAGAAAAAGUCAUCUAAAAGAAACACAAGAAGCACUGUGCCGACAGUGACAGCGACUCUGAUUCUGACACAGACUCCGUGCCUGGGAGUUUCACAUGAGGAAGACAGCAUGAAGAAAGCCAAGGUCUCAUCGCGUCUUUUCAAUGAUCCAUUCAUGUGGAAUAUUAAGCAAGGCCUCCCUCUUGCUUCCAGCAGCACUCAACUGAAAGGUUUCCUUUUAGUGUUUAGUCCUCAGGAACUGGGUUCCUCUCAAGGAUUCUGAAUGAGACAGAAUACAUUUGAAGGCAUGAUUGUCACUCCUGAGCCGGGGAUGACAAUAAUAUGGCUCCUGUGGUGGGGGCAGGGGAGAAACGGGAGAAGAGCCCUUCUGGACUUGAUGGAGUCUCCUGUGUUUCCUUUGGGCCAGAAUGGUUUGUUCCCCUCUAUCCUCCACAAAAAGGGAGAGCAGUGAACAGAAUGUGGAGCAUCUAGAACAAAAGUAGGGGAAUGUUCGGAUGCUGCCUUCCCAGAAAGGCCUAUGAACAGUAGUUUCUUAGGAAGAUUCCUUUAGUGUCCAGGCUCGUGCCUGAACUCCUCAUCAUGAAUGGAGCUUGGCCACGUUUUGAGGCACACCGUUCUGUCACCGAGACUUUCCCCACCGCAUCUUUCACCUGUAUGUGCCUGAGAAGUGCAGGGCCCAGUGAUAGUACUCAGGGAUGUCACCUCAUGAAAAGGGACCAGCCUGACAUUCCUUACGAAUUCUCUUUUUUUUAGACCACAGUUUGAUUUAUUUACUUUUGGCGGGGCUUGGUCUUCAUUGCUUCCCAUGGACUUUCUCUAGGUGCAGCAGGCAGGGGCUGCUCUCUCGUUGUGGUGUGGAGGCUUCUCCUAUGGUGGCUUCUAACGGUGGCGCACGGGCUCUCGGGCAUGCAGGCUGCAGUAGUUGCAGCCCUCAGGCUCGGUCGUUGCAGCACAUGGGACUUGUUACUCUGCAGCACGUGGGAUCUUCCCAGACGGGGGAUCGAGCCCAUGUAUCCUGCAAUGACAGGCCAAUUCUUCACCACUGGACCACCAGGGAAGCCCUCAGCAAUUCUUAUCCAUACAGUACUAACCCCAUUUCACAUAUAAAAACAAGUAUACAAGAGAAUGCACAUCGCUCCUGGAAAUAACCCCAAAACGCCCUAUAAAAACACAGUGUUUUCACUUUUUCAGUUCAUCUAUCAGGCGUUCAGUGAAGUGCUCUUGCUGAGGUGCUAUGAAAAACUGUCAUAGGAAACAGGUCUUACAAGACAGGGGCCACAAAAUGAAUGCUGCAGACAGGGGCCCUUGCCAGGCCAAACCAAGCUCACACAAAGGAGGGCACAGGUGGAGGAGGCAAGGGUGGCAUGGAGGGUCUGGGUGUGUGGGGCUUCAGUGGCAGCAGAGGCACCCCACUCCAGUUGGGCCGCAAAACAAUGUGGCCCUUUGGGGUCCAUACAGGAUUAUGACGAGAGGGUGACCCAAGGCCACAGGGGACAUUUGUCUGAGAAUUACAGCCCUCUGCUAUCGCCAACACUUGGCCCUCCCACUCGUAAGCCUUGGGCAGUUAAGGUCUUGAGAGAAAAACACAACAUGCAAAUCUAUAUGCCACCGAUGAAAUGGAAGAAACUAUUUCAUUGCUAAAAUACUGUAGGAAGGUUAAGGCUGCAUCCCUCCCUCCAGCCCACCCUUAGGGAUGGUAGACUGUAUGUGCCAAGCUCUGGUCUAGGCUUACUGCUUUGCUCCUGUCCUCUCACUUUUAGUAUUCUUGGAUUACUUUCCACGUCCUACAUGUGAGCCCGCUCGCAAACAGUACCGUGUCCCUGCUGUCAGUGCUUUGCCUGGUAACAGGAUAAAGAAACGUUAGUGCUCUACCAGCAGUCCAGCUGCUCUGCCCUCCUCACUAGGGACAGUGUCACCCUGGUCUUUGGGGGGGAGGGGCUGGGCAUGAUAAAAACUCAGCCCCUUUCAAAGUCAUAAUGAGGGAAACAGCACCCAUUUAAAGGCCAUCUUCAGUCUGAACUAAAUAGUUACUAGGAAGGAACAUGCUGGCUUUCUAGACAGAACGAUGACUCAGGGGGUCUUUUAUCCAUCUGACCUCUUGAGAGUUAGAAAGGUGGUCUGGCAAGGGGGCUCAGGGGGCUUGUGACUUGUCUUAUUGGCACAUGAGAGUUGCUGAAGCUCUGGAUACUGCCUUAAUAUUUUAGUCUUGAAUGCUAAGGAAAGUUCACCUAACUAGGUUCAAGUCCAUUCUAACUCAGUUUCUGCCCAGCCAAUAAUGUGGAGGGAAAGAGGCAGACCACCGUCAUUUCUACAUACGCCAACCUGUCCCCACCCUCCGGUUUUGUGGGCUCAGGACACUGUCAGCUGAUUCGGUCCUACCCUCAGGUUCAGGAUUCUAGAUGGUGGUGAUGUUGCCUGAGUGGUGAAACACCAUGGUCCUACCAGCCCUUCUCCUCACCUAGGAGAGUCCAACACCAUCAAGAGAUCUAAGGCAGGAGAGUGCAACUAGGCAUUUUAGAACAAGGUCAGCCACAGUGUGGCACCCCCGUGUUCACUGCAGCAUUACGUGCAACAGCCAGAUAAGGAAACAACCUCACUGUCUAUCCACGGAUGCAUGGACAAAGAACACGUGUAUACAGGCAUGGCUCCGAGAUACCAUGGGUUUGGUUCCAGACCACGGCAAUGAAGCAAAUAGCACUACAACGUCAUCCACACAAAUUUCUUGUUUUCCCAAUACAUAUAAAUGUCAUUUUUACACUGUAUUUGUAGUCUAUUCAGUGUGCAAUAGCAUUAUGUCUUAGACAAUAGCAUAAAUACCCUAAUUGAAAAAUACUGCUAAAAAAUGUUAACCAUCUUCUGAGCCUUCAGCAAGUUCAAAUAUUUUUGCAAUAGUAACAGAUUACUGAUCACAGAUCACCAUAACAAAUAUAACAAUGAUGAAAAAGCAUGAAAUAUUGCCAAAAGGACCAAAAUGUGACAGAGGCAAGAAGUGAGCAACUGCUUUUGAAUGAAUGGCACCACUGGACUUGCUAGAUGCAAGGUGGCCACAAAGCUCAAUGUGUAAACACAAUAUCUGCAAAGUGCAUUAAAGUCAAGCACAAUAAAUGAGGCAUCCCUGUAUAUGCAAGGGAACAUUAUUCACCCACAAAAAGGAAACUUUGAAUUUGCUACAUGGAUGAACCUUGAGAGCACUAGGCUAAGUGAAAUAAAUCAUAAAGAUAGA